UAUACGACCGUACCGCAAACCGACACUGGUGCGCGAGAUGAGUAUUCUAAGGCGCUUGAGAGAACUCAGGAGAAGGAACUCGGCAAAUUGACACCGUAACUUCGGAAGAAGGUGUGCCCUAUUAGUGUGUAGUGAACAACGAAGCAUGAAUGGGUUGCAAAAAAUCGGUGGCUGCGACUGUUUAUUAAAAACACAGCACUCUGCAAACACGAAAGUGGACGUAUAGGGUGUGACGCCUGCCCGGUGCUGGAAGAUUAAAUGAUGGGGUGCAAGCUCUUGAUUGAAGUCCCAGUAAACGGCGGCCGUAACAAUAACGGUCCUAAGGUAGCGAAAUUCCUUGUCGGGUAAGUUCCGACCUGCACGAAUGGCGUAACGAUGGCCACACUGUCUCCUCCUGAGACUCAGCGAAGUUGAAAUGUUUGUGAUGAUGCAAUCUCCCCGCGGAAAGACGGAAAGACCCCAUGAACCUUUACUGUAGCUUUGUAUUGGACUUUGAACAGAUCUGUGUAGGAUAGGUGGGAGGCUUUGAAGCAGGGUCGCUAGAUCUUGUGGAGCCAACGUUGAAAUACCACCCUGGUGUGUUUGAGGUUCUAACCUAGGUCCAUUAUCUGGAUCGGGGACAGUGCAUGGUAGGCAGUUUGACUGGGGCGGUCUCCUCCCAAAGCGUAACGGAGGAGUUCGAAGGUACGCUAGUUACGGUCGGACAUCGUGACGAUAGUGCAAUGGCAUAAGCGUGCUUAACUGCGAGACUGACAAGUCGAGCAGAUGCGAAAGCAGGACAUAGUGAUCCGGUGGUUCUGUAUGGAAGGGCCAUCGCUCAACGGAUAAAAGGUACUCUGGGGAUAACAGGCUGAUACCGCCCAAGAGUUCAUAUCGACGGCGGUGUUUGGCACCUCGAUGUCGGCUCAUCUCAUCCUGGGGCUGUAGCCGGUCCCAAGGGUAUGGCUGUUCGCCAUUUAAAGAGGUACGUGAGCUGGGUUUAAAACGUCGUGAGACAGUUUGGUCCCUAUCUUCCGUGUCGCUGCAGAUUUGAGGAAGCCUGCUCCUAGUACGAGAGGACCGGAGUGGACACACCUCUGGUGUAUCGGUUGUCACGCCAGUGGCAUUGCCGAGUAGCUAAGUGUGGAAGAGAUAACCGCUGAAAGCAUCUAAGCGGGAAACUCGUUUCAAGAUGAGAUCUGCCGGGGCCUUGAGCCCCCUAAAGAGUCGUUCAAGACCAGGACGUUGAUAGGUCAGGUGUGGAAGCUAA
RNAcentral lists this ribosomal RNA (1249 nucleotides) under metagenome. RNAcentral's name for it is "bacterial LSU rRNA". It matches the Rfam family "Bacterial large subunit ribosomal RNA", at positions 1635 to 2877 of the family's 2925-position model. The record is from RNAcentral.